GAUGAACGCUGGCGGCAUGCCUAAUACAUGCAAGUCGGGCGGACAGAGGUGUUUCUUGUGUCGGAGGUGUGAGUGACGCGUGAGAGCGUGCCCUGGGGAUGGGAACAAUAUCUGGCUACGGUUGCUAAUAGCACGUGGGCUUAGUAGCAAAUGAUGGAAUCCACCCGAGGGGGGGCAAGCGUCUGAUUGUCUAGGUGGUGCUGCUAUAGCUUACCAAGGCGAUGAUCAGUAUUUGCUAGGAGAGGGUGAUCGGCCACACUGGGACUGAGACACGGACUAGAGUCCUACCGGAGACAGCAGAAAGCAAUAUUCCGCAACGGGCGAUGGGUUGUCGGGGCAAUGCCACGUGGAGGUUGAAGGCCUACGGAUGAUCAUCUUCUUUAGCCGCAGAAGAAGCAAUGACGGUAUCUGGUGAAUAAGCAACGGCUAACUCUGUG
This 437-nucleotide ribosomal RNA is filed under the name uncultured bacterium. RNAcentral's name for it is "partial 16S ribosomal RNA". It matches the Rfam family "Bacterial small subunit ribosomal RNA", at positions 28 to 507 of the family's 1533-position model. The record is from RNAcentral.